RNAcentral lists this ribosomal RNA (253 nucleotides) under uncultured bacterium. RNAcentral's name for it is "partial 16S ribosomal RNA". It matches the Rfam family "Bacterial small subunit ribosomal RNA", at positions 524 to 776 of the family's 1533-position model. The record is from RNAcentral.
UACGUAGGGUGCAAGCGUUAUCCGGAAUUAUUGGGCGUAAAGAGCUCGUAGGCGGUUUGUCGCGUCUGCUGUGAAAACUGGGGGCUCAACCCCCAGCCUGCAGUGGGUACGGGCAGACUAGAGUGCGGUAGGGGAGAUUGGAAUUCCUGGUGUAGCGGUGGAAUGCGCAGAUAUCAGGAGGAACACCGAUGGCGAAGGCAGAUCUCUGGGCCGAUACUGACGCUGAGGAGCGAAAGCGUGGGGAGCGAACAGG